GACGAACCGUGCAAACGUUAUUCGGAAUCACUGGGCUUAAAGGGCGCGUAGGCGGGCUGUCAAGUCAGAGGUGAAAUCCCACAGCUUAACUGUGGAAGUGCCCCUGAUACUGACGGCCUCGAGGGAGGUAGGGGCGUGUGGAACUUCCGGUGGAGCGGUGAAAUGCGUAGAUACCGGGAGGAACACCUGUGGCGAAAGCGGCUCACUGGACCACAACUGACGCUGAGGCGCGAAGGCUAGGGGAGCGAACGGG
This 253-nucleotide ribosomal RNA is filed under the name uncultured bacterium. RNAcentral's name for it is "partial 16S ribosomal RNA". It matches the Rfam family "Bacterial small subunit ribosomal RNA", at positions 524 to 776 of the family's 1533-position model. The record is from RNAcentral.